GUUCAGAUGGUUUACAGUGAGCAGCGCAGCGGAGGCUCUUUGCUGUGUCUCAAAGUUUGCAGAAAAUGUGGUUAUUUUCGGUGACCUCUUUAGUGGGACAAAGGAGGCUGCGGAUCGAUUCGUUACACCUUUUUAGUGAGGCUUCUGGUGAAGGGGAGGGGCUCUGAAUCUACAAGAGGCUCCAUUAAUAGCCUACUCUCCAUCCUAACUAUUAUCCUCCAUAAAGUGUUUAUAAAGGGCACACAACUGGGCUAAUGUUAUCUCAAACGAGACGGCACGAUAUAUCCGUUUAAUGCAGAACCUGCUCGGGUGGAUGGUGGAGAGAAGAGAGGGGAAAACCCUCAAGUUUGUUUUUAUUACUGAGUAAAUAGAGGGUACGGUGAUAAUCACAACAUAACUUGGAUGGCAUGAGAAGUGUCUCAGUUCAGACUGGAUGCGCUGCUCUUCCCUCUGCAGCCGGCCACCGGACUCACUCACACCCAGCUACACCGGCUCCGGUCCGAGCUAUUCCUACCGGAGGUUUGGACCGGAUCAUUUACCCUACAAGGAACUGGAUUACAAAACUUUGCACAAACCCGUCGCGCCAGCCCCAGUUCAACUAAUUCUGGUCUGACAUGACCACAUGAAUAGAAGCUGUAUUAUAAGAGCUACUGGAUCGUACUACAGAGGAGUCCCGCAGGUUGUCAAAUCAGAGACGCUGACGCAGAGACACACCAACACCGAGAGGGAAACGAGAGAAAUCUGGCAGAGCAGCAUCCUAUUGUGUCGUCCUGAGUCACAUUAUCUGACAAAUACAGAGAUUUACCAGUACAAAAUGGAAAAUAUGACUGAGGUCAUGCUAAGAAUGGCCACUUCCCUGACCUUGGCUUCUCCGGCAACGUCUGCAAUAUUAUCAGCCGAAAUAUCCGCUAUUACACGCUAACGACAAGAGACAUUUCUACAGGAGCAGCAGCAGCGACACACCGGACCACUGGCUUAGGGCGAGUCAUCCAGAUCACAGUGGCUGUUGUCACCUACGAGCCACCAUCAUCAAGAGUGCAUCUCUUUGUUUUUGAGAUGAAAAUGCAGCUUAUGUGUGUUGAUAAAGACACUGUGUGAAUGCACUGUGUGUGUAUGUAAAUUGUUGACACUCAGUGACAAUGUAUGCAUUUAUGUAAGCAUGGUGACGCCUCAAUGAUGGAUAAAUAAACAAGGAUGCCUUCAUGACAGUACAACACACUGAUCCAAUACUAUUAACAUUCUAGAUUUUUAACAAUGAAAUAAAAGAUUAAAAGAGUA
This is a long non-coding RNA of Lates calcarifer (barramundi perch), 1278 nucleotides long. RefSeq lists it as uncharacterized. The transcript is spliced from 4 exons. NCBI's taxonomy places the organism in Eukaryota, Metazoa, Chordata, Actinopteri, Centropomidae. The record is from RefSeq and is a predicted model, not a curated record.